This 2580-nucleotide long non-coding RNA is filed under the name Homo sapiens (human). RNAcentral's name for it is "HSALNT0347707". The record is from RNAcentral. Lineage: Eukaryota; Metazoa; Chordata; Mammalia; Primates; Hominidae.
UAAAUACAGAAUUAGGUCACAGAAACUGAGAGACUCAUUGUCAAUAAAACUGAAUGUUUUUAAGUUAAUUUAAAAAUGAAAUAGACACAUGUACUGUAAUUUCUAUCCAGUUCAUCACAAAAUUUUUAUUCAUUUUUGUUUCUUUUAAUGAGUGGAACAUUAUAGGAGCUCAACUGUAUUUGAAAAAUUUACUUUUCUAAGAUGAGGAGUGAAUACAUGGGCAUUUUCCAUGUUAUUCUUUAUUCAUUCGAUAUGUCUGGGACAAUUUAUAAUAUAUUAAAAAUUUUAAGUUCACAUCACAUGCUAACCCACACAUAUUUCUCUCUCUCUCUCUCUCUCUCACACACACACACACACAUACACACACAGACACACACUAUAUAUAUUUUCCUUAGAUCAGAUGCCAUCUUAUUUCCAGAUGCUAGUGCUAGAGAUUCCCAUUUGGGAAAAAACAAAAGAAGAAAAAUAAAGAAAGAAACCUAAACUAAACCACAUAUUUUAAUCUUCUCUUUAGAUAUUGAAAUGCAGACUAUAGAGAAAGAACUUACUGCAGCAUCAGCAAAAUAUAGGAAAAGUAGUGACUCUUCCAUUAAAACAAGUGGCUUUUCCAGGAAAAAAGAUCUUGGGAUUUUCUUUGGUUAUUAGAUAGCUCUACACCAGAUAGGAACAUAAAAUUUCUUUGUGUGGGGAAAGAGGAGAGCUUUCCUGAAGUUUGACUCAUAUUACAAAAAUGAGGGGGAAAGGGAUUUAAGUGCUUAUUUCAGUUCCUUUUCCAAACAUGGAAAAUGACAUGAUUGUAUAUCUAGAAACCCCAUCGUCUCAGCCCCAAAUCUCCUUAAGCUGAUAGGCAACUUCAGCAAAGUCUCAGGAUACAAAAUAAAUAUGCAAAAAUCACAAGCAUUCUUAUACACCAAUAACAGACAAACAGAGAGCUAAAUCUUGAGUGAACUCCCAUUCACGAUUGCUUCAAAGAGAAUAAAAUACCUAGGAAUCCAACUUACAAGGGACGUGAAGGACCUCUUCAAGGAGAACUACAAACCACUGCUCAAUGAAAUAAAAGAGGAUACAAAGAAAUGGAAGAACAUUCCAUGCUCAUGGUUUAGUCUUGGGAUGGUACUUACACACAAGGGAGAUGUUCCAGGUCUUCUUUCCUGCCCCAAUACUGCUUAUGAGCACCCAGUGAGAUCUGUGGACAAGAAGAGCCUAUGAGUGGAUACAAACUCCUAUUGUGUCUGUGAUUCCAAGAAGAUCUAUACUUUCACUCUAUUCUUCAUCUUAACAGUAUCUCAGAUAUUAUAGCUGAAAUUUUACCAACUCCUUUGCUAACGCUGUCUUUUUCCCAUGCCCUUACCCAGUUUUCCAUAGCUAGAGCAGACUUCCAUUCCUCUUGUACUAUGCCUUGCUGAGACAUCCCUUGACACAUUCUUUCCUUUAAUUUAAUGUAAGACCUGGCCUUAAAAUCUUUCUGUGUUAUAGACUUCCUUUUGAAAUCUUGGGCAGCUCUGAAAACAGAAAACAUAAAACUGCACCAGACUGUACCAAAACCUGUCCUGAGGGCGAUUCAGCAGGUUUGAUUAUAUGCCAAGUACCUGUGAAUACCCCAGGCUGAAGAGCUUUCAUAAGCCAUUAUGAAAAUAAUGUAAUUUUAGUGAUUUAGGGAAAUGGGAAACAAGGAAUAAAGGAUCAUAAGGGGGAGACAACCUACAACUCCAGGGUAAACAGGGAGUCAGAGAAAGGUAGAAAGAAAGAAGCUUAAGACAGCAUCAUCACUUUUUCUAUUUGUGUGUGUGUGUGGUGUUUCACUUUCAUAUUUGUUGGCCAGUUUCCUUUACUGAUUAUCCAUUUGUGUAAAUAUCACAUGGGUUUACCUCUGGGAGACAUGGUCCUGAUACCAACACACACUUUGCUGUCUAUGCAUGAACUGAAUAACUGAGACGCAGUGACCCAUCACCAACAGACUGGAAGAAGUAGCAUUAGUGGUCCAUUGAUUAUGAUAAGCAUCUGCUAUUAAUGUAAUGAUCUGUGGGAAAAGAGCUGGCAGCAAAGUCUGUAUUUUAUGCAAUUACUCCCACUUAAUAUACCGUGAAAUUUGUUGGAGGAUUGUUGUUAUUUAAAUCAUUGUAACUGAAAUUCAUACAUAUAGAAAGUAUGCACAGUUAAACUACCCAUCUAUAUUUUAUAACAAGGCCAGUCAUUUACCAACUGGGUGACUGUGGUGGCUAUAAAAGUAUGCCCUCACAUGUCUGCUAGAGGAGGUGUUUGAUGGAUGGCUUCAGGUGCUGAGAUUUGAGCCUACCACUGUGUUCCUGCCAGGCCCACAUUUCCCAUAGGCUGCUCCUGGCUAAUGCCUAAUUUUUGCAAUGUCUGACUUGGGCAACUUUUGCUCAAGGAUUCCCCACUAGCUGAGCUAAAACUUUUAGAAAUGCAUUCCAGUCUGUGGCUCUUCCUAUGUAACCCUCCUUCCUUCCCUCUCUCCUUUACAGGGGUUACACCUGAAUCCCGGUCCGAAGGCUGUCCCACCUCCUCUAACUCUUUCCCUUCUGGAUAUUUCCUUCAAUAAAUCUGUUGCACAUCUAACCU